UAUAAUAGGCACAAAGGUAACAUCACCUUAAAGAAACGGUAUUCACCAUAAGGAGAAUUUAACACAAUGUCAAUUUGCAUUCACAUCAAGCAAGUCUGUCAGUAUAUGACAUGUUUCUGGCCGUACCACCCAUCAAUGACAGAGAUGCUUAAGCCACAUGUUAUCCUGCAGGGAUGCAAGUAUGCAACUGUGAGGAGGAAGCCGUCGGUACGAAAAUUCAAAGACACAAGAGGAGGCCGACGGUACGAAACUUCAAAGACAUAAGAGGAGGCCGACAUUACAACGACGGUGAGUAGGCAUAUGAGUUCUUUUUAGACCUAAGAGGGAAUGAGACGGUGAGGAUGGGUGUACGUGUAGGGAUUAGCCUGGUACGUACCGAAAAUACCCGGUACGAUACGGUUCGGUAUGGCAUCGGUAUAUGAAGGUAAAAACCGGAUACCGAAUCGGUACCGAAAAUCGAGUUGGGUCGGGAAAUUCGGGGCUGGUACGAUUCC
Helianthus annuus (common sunflower) is the source of this 494-nucleotide long non-coding RNA. RefSeq lists it as uncharacterized. The record is from RefSeq and is a predicted model, not a curated record. NCBI's taxonomy places the organism in Eukaryota, Viridiplantae, Streptophyta, Magnoliopsida, Asterales, Asteraceae. The transcript is spliced from 3 exons.